This 67-nucleotide transfer RNA is filed under the name Trichonephila clavata. RNAcentral's name for it is "tRNA-Arg". It matches the Rfam family "tRNA". From Rfam's summary of the family: Transfer RNA (tRNA) molecules are approximately 80 nucleotides in length. Their secondary structure includes four short double-helical elements and three loops (D, anti-codon, and T loops). Lineage: Eukaryota; Metazoa; Arthropoda; Arachnida; Araneae; Nephilidae. The record is from RNAcentral.
GAAGCACAAUGAAUAGCGCGUUGGACUUCUAAUCCAAAGGUCAUGGGUUAGAAUUCCACCUGAAAUU